GAAAUGCGAUAAGUAAUGUGAAUUGCAGAAUUCAGUGAAUCAUCGAAUCUUUGAACGCACAUUGCGCCCGCCAGUAUUCUGGCGGGCAUGUCUGUUCGAGCGUCAUUUCAACCAUCAAGCCCCGGGCUUGUGUUGGGGACCUGCGGCUGCCGCAGGCCCUGAAAAGCAGUGGCGGGCUCGCUGUCACACCGAGCGUAGUAGCAUACAUCUCGCUCUGGGCGUGCUGCGGGUUCCGGCCGUUAAACCACCUUCGUAACCCAAGGUUGACCUCGGAUCAGGUAGGAAUACCCGCUGAACUUAAGC
This 303-nucleotide unclassified non-coding RNA is filed under the name plant metagenome. RNAcentral describes it as "partial contains 5.8S ribosomal RNA, internal transcribed spacer 2, and large subunit ribosomal RNA". The stretch from base 1 to 105 matches the Rfam family "5.8S ribosomal RNA", at positions 50 to 154 of the family's 154-position model. The record is from RNAcentral.